AGAGUUUGAUCCUGGCUCAGGAUGAACGCUGGCGGCGUGCUUAACACAUGCAAGUCGAACGAUCCUUCGGGAUAGUGGCGGACGGGUGAGUAACGCGUGGGAAUCUGCCCUCAGGAGGGGGAUAACGGCUGGAAACGGCCGCUAAUACCCCAUAUGCCGAGAGGUGAAAUGAAUUUCGCCUGAGGAUGAGCCCGCGUCUGAUUAGCUAGUUGGUGGGGUAAAGGCCUACCAAGGCGACGAUCAGUAGCUGGUCUGAGAGGAUGAUCAGCCACACUGGGACUGAGACACGGCCCAGACUCCUACGGGAGGCAGCAGUGGGGAAUUUUCCGCAAUGGGCGAAAGCCUGACGGAGCAACGCCGCGUGAGGGAUGAAGGCCUCUGGGCUGUAAACCUCUUUUCUCAAGGAAGAAGAACUGACGGUACUUGAGGAAUAAGCCACGGCUAAUUCCGUGCCAGCAGCCGCGGUAAUACGGGAGUGGCAAGCGUUAUCCGGAAUUAUUGGGCGUAAAGCGUCCGCAGGCGGCCUUGUAAGUCUGUUGUUAAAGCGUGGAGCUCAACUCCAUUUAAGCAAUGGAAACUACAAGGCUGGAGUGUGGUAGGGGCAGAGGGAAUUCCCGGUGUAGCGGUGAAAUGCGUAGAUAUCGGGAAGAACACCAGUGGCGAAGGCGCUCUGCUGGGCCAUAACUGACGCUCAUGGACGAAAGCCAGGGGAGCGAAAGGGAUUAGAUACCCCUGUAGUCCUGGCCGUAAACGAUGAACACUAGGUGUCGGGGGAAUCGACCCCCUCGGUGUCGUAGCCAACGCGUUAAGUGUUCCGCCUGGGGAGUACGCACGCAAGUGUGAAACUCAAAGGAAUUGACGGGGGCCCGCACAAGCGGUGGAGUAUGUGGUUUAAUUCGAUGCAACGCGAAGAACCUUACCAGGGUUUGACAUCCUGCGAAUCCCUUGGAAACGAGGGAGUGCCUUCGGGAGCGCAGUGACGGGUGGUGCAUGGCUGUCGUCAGCUCGUGUCGUGAGAUGUUGGGUUAAGUCCCGCAACGAGCGCAACCCACGUCUUUAGUUGCCAGCAUUCAGUUGGGCACUCUAGAGAGACCGCCGGUGAUAAACCGGAGGAAGGUGUGGAUGACGUCAAGUCAUCAUGCCCCUUACAUCCUGGGCUACACACGUACUACAAUGCUACGGACAAAGGGCAGCAAGCUCGCGAGAGUUAGCAAAUCCCAUAAACCGUGGCUCAGUUCAGAUCGUAGGCUGCAACUCGCCUACGUGAAGGAGGAAUCGCUAGUAAUCGCAGGUCAGCAUACUGCGGUGAAUACGUUCCCGGGCCUUGUACACACCGCCCGUCACACCAUGGAAGUUGGCCAUGCCCGAAGUCGUUACUCCAACCCUU
RNAcentral lists this ribosomal RNA (1387 nucleotides) under metagenome. RNAcentral describes it as "bacterial SSU rRNA". It matches the Rfam family "Bacterial small subunit ribosomal RNA". The record is from RNAcentral.